This 461-nucleotide ribosomal RNA is filed under the name uncultured bacterium. RNAcentral describes it as "SSU rRNA". It matches the Rfam family "Bacterial small subunit ribosomal RNA", at positions 26 to 518 of the family's 1533-position model. The record is from RNAcentral.
AGAAUCAACGCUGGCGGCGUGCCUAACACAUGCAAGUCGAACGAGAAAGUGGUAGCAAUACCAUGAGUAAAGUGGCGCACGGGUGAGUAACACGUGACUAACCUACCCUUGAGUGGGGGAUAACUGAGGGAAACCUUAGCUAAUACCGCAUAAUACCCACGGGUCAAAGGAGCAAUUCGCUCGAGGAGGGGGUCGCGGCCGAUUAGUUAGUUGGCGGGGUAAUGGCCCACCAAGACGAUGAUCGGUAUCCGGCCUGAGAGGGCGCACGGACACACUGGAACUGAAACACGGUCCAGACUCCUACGGGAGGCAGCAGUGGGGAAUUUUGCGCAAUGGGGGAAACCCUGACGCAGCAACGCCGCGUGGAGGAUGAAGUCCUUCGGGACGUAAACUCCUUUCGAUCGGGACGAUUAUGACGGUACCGGAGAAGAAGCCCCGGCUAACUUCGUGCCAGCAGCCGC